This 497-nucleotide ribosomal RNA is filed under the name uncultured bacterium. RNAcentral's name for it is "partial 16S ribosomal RNA". It matches the Rfam family "Bacterial small subunit ribosomal RNA", at positions 28 to 507 of the family's 1533-position model. The record is from RNAcentral.
GAUGAACGCUGGCGGCGUGCCUAAUACAUGCAAGUCGAGCGAACAGACGAGGAGCUUGCUCCUCUGACGUUAGCGGCGGACGGGUGAGUAACACGUGGAUAACCUACCUAUAAGACUGGGAUAACUUCGGGAAACCGGAGCUAAUACCGGAUAAUAUAUUGAACCGCAUGGUUCAAUAGUGAAAGACGGUUUUGCUGGCACUUAUAGAUGGAUCCGCGCCGCAUUAGCUAGUUGGUAAGGUAACGGCUUACCAAGGCAACGAUGCGUAGCCGACCUGAGAGGGUGAUCGUCCACACUGGAACUGAGACACGGUCCAGACUCCUACGGGAGGCACCAGUAGGGAAUCUUCCGCAAUGGGCGAAAGCCUGACGGAGCAACGCCGCGUGAGUGAUGAAGGUCUUCGGAUCGUAAAACUCUGUUAUUAGGGAAGAACAAAUCUGUAAGUAACUAUGCACGUCUUGACGGUACCUAAUCAGAAAGCCACGGCUAACUACGUG